This 793-nucleotide ribosomal RNA is filed under the name uncultured bacterium. Its description in RNAcentral is "bacterial SSU rRNA". It matches the Rfam family "Bacterial small subunit ribosomal RNA", at positions 8 to 796 of the family's 1533-position model. The record is from RNAcentral.
AGAGUUUGAUCCUGGCUCAGAUUGAACGCUGGCGGCAUGCCUUACACAUGCAAGUCGAACGGCAGCACGGGCUUCGGUCUGGUGGCGAGUGGCGAGCGGGUGAGUAAUGUAUCGGAACGUACCUUUCAGUGGGGGAUAACGUAGCGAAAGUUACGCUAAUACCGCAUAUUCUGUGAGCAGGAAAGCAGGGGAUCGCAAGACCUUGCGCUGAUUGAGCGGCCGAUAUCAGAUUAGCUAGUUGGUGGGGUAAAGGCCUACCAAGGCUACGAUCUGUAGCGGGUCUGAGAGGAUGAUCCGCCACACUGGAACUGAGACACGGUCCAGACUCCUACGGGAGGCAGCAGUGGGGAAUUUUGGACAAUGGGGGCAACCCUGAUCCAGCCAUGCCGCGUGAGUGAAGAAGGCCUUCGGGUUGUAAAGCUCUUUCGGCCGGGAAGAAAUCGCAUAGGUUAAUACCCUGUGUGGAUGACGGUACCGGAAUAAGAAGCACCGGCUAACUACGUGCCAGCAGCCGCGGUAAUACGUAGGGUGCGAGCGUUAAUCGGAAUUACUGGGCGUAAAGCGUGCGCAGGCGGUUUCGUAAGACAGAGGUGAAAUCCCCGGGCUCAACCUGGGAACUGCCUUUGUGACUGCGAAGCUAGAGUACGGCAGAGGGGGGUGGAAUUCCACGUGUAGCAGUGAAAUGCGUAGAGAUGUGGAGGAACACCGAUGGCGAAGGCAGCCCCCUGGGCCGAUACUGACGCUCAUGCACGAAAGCGUGGGUAGCAAACAGGAUUAGAUACCCUGGUAGUCC